UUUGCAGUAUAGCUGCUUUACUAUGUGUGUUAAUUUCUGCUGUCCAACAAAGUGAGCCAGCCACACGUGUGCCUACAUCCCCUCGUCCUUGGAUUUCCUUCCCAUUUCGGUCACUGAGGUGCCAGAUCCUGGGGGUGGGUCAGGCCUCCGGGGACCCCCUCAAGUCCUGGAAGAUGACCUUCUCUGCGGGCUGUGGGAGACAGAGAUGAGAGGGUAGACCGCACAGCCCUCCAACUCUGGACGUGGAGGCAGGAUCCUGAGUGCUUAGGAGGAAAUGACAGGCCGCCUCAUUUACAAUGGAAGGAAACUGAGGUACAACAACAAAAUAAUAAAACCUAAUGCGUGCGCGCUGAGCGCUUACAGUAAGCCAGGCACUGUGCUGAGCCCUUUGACCCAAGUUCUUUCAUUUAAUCCUUCCAACAACGGUCACCGUGGGAAGCUGAGCCUGGGACCCCUAUUUUACAAGUGGGGAAAGGAAGACUCGGGAAGGUAAGUCAAGGCCAUACCCUCUGUGAAUGGAGGACCUGAGGUGGGCACACAGAUCUGGCUCCAGAACCCAGAACCAAAAACCUGGGAUGUCUUGGGGGAGGUGAAGGGACGAGAUGAGGGAAGCCUGGCAGGGACGGAAGAUAAGCCCUUGUCUGGGGGCCACGGGCAGCGGAAUAAAUGAUUGCAAGAGUGAGGCACCCCGGAUCAGUUCCACGUCCAUUCUACCCUGGAUGGCCCAGGGCAGUUUGCAGAAGCCCCAGUUUCAGCCCACCCCAGCAACCUAGAAUCUUCUCUGCUUCAUUCAUUCACUCAUUCAUGCAAUCAUUCAAUCAACCGAAGACAAAGUUCUGGAUGACACAAACAUACCCCUGUAAACAAUAAAUGUAAAUGGCUUGAAUGGGUCUAUUAAAGCACAAAGACUCUAGUAUGAGAUCAAAAAUCAAAAUCUCUUCAUUUAUUCGUGGACCUAAUAUUUAUUAGAUGCCUAAAAUAUUCAAGGUCCGGUUUUAGAUUCUAAUGACAGAACCUAAAAAUAAGAUGUCUGCUGGUGGAAAAACACCGGGAAAAGGUGAUCCAGGGAGAGAGACCCAAAGGUGCAAAAAACUGUGAGGCUGCGAUGAGCUGGAGGAGGGAGGAACAGAAGUGGGGGCCCUUGUGGCCGGAGCGCAGCACUGGUGAGCACGGGGAGUGAAGCAGGAGAGGCCUGCCAGGUCGGGAACAGACAGCAGCGGCAGCAAGCAGGGCCCAGACGCAGAGGACCUGGGUCCUUCUCACAGAGAGCUCCCCCCUCUCCCGGCAAGCCCAGCUGGCUUCUCGACUCUUCCCAUCUGGGAGCCCUCCCUGCCCCCCAGACGGGGCCAAGAUGACCGGGCACAGCCCCCUCUCCAGGAGGCGACAUUGUGGAUUGGAGGCCUGUUGGGUACCAGGCUCUACCGUUUGGUGGUUUCCACACUUAAUCAGUUCAUUAAGUCCCACCACCAGGUUCGCAUCCUCCCAUUUUGCGGAAGAGAAAACUGAGCCUCAGAGAGGCUGGGUGGCCUGCCCGAAGCCACACUGCCAGGCAACGGCAGGCCCGAGGCUUGGACUCAGAGCAUCUGACACCACAGGCGCCUCCGGCGAAAGGAAGUGGAGCAGCCUCAGCUGGCUGUGUCCUCACGUGGGUCUCCUGACCUCCUCGACCUCAGCCCUCCAUCUGGGAAACCACGGGCCAGACAGCCAGGGACUUCUCUGGUGGUCCAGUGGUGAAGAAUCCACCUGCCGAUGCAGAGGACACAGGUUUAAUCCCUGCUCCGCGAAGAUUCCACAUGCCUGUGCCUGCGAACCAAAACUACCGAGCCCCUGCACCCUCGAACCCGGGGGCCGCAACCAGAGAAACCACAGAAAUGAGAAGCCCAAGCGCUGCAAGUAGAGAGUAACCCCCGCUCGCCGUAGAGAAAGCCCACACAUCAGUGAAGACCCAGGGUGGCCAAAAAUAAUAAAUACAUUUAAAAAAAUUUUUUUUAAGGCUGUCAGAAUAGUGGCGGAUGGGCCCGGUGGUCAGGGCUGCACCCACCCCUUGGGGGCUUGCAGAGCUCUAACAGGGGGCCGCGGGGGA
Molecule: long non-coding RNA, 2083 nt
Organism: Cervus elaphus (red deer)
Lineage: Eukaryota; Metazoa; Chordata; Mammalia; Artiodactyla; Cervidae
Exons: 3
Source: RefSeq, a predicted model, not a curated record